This 226-nucleotide long non-coding RNA is filed under the name Elaeis guineensis (African oil palm). RNAcentral describes it as "long non-coding RNA (EGUI_LNC029253)". Lineage: Eukaryota; Viridiplantae; Streptophyta; Magnoliopsida; Arecales; Arecaceae. The record is from RNAcentral.
UGGGCUUCUCAAAAGAAAUGUUUAGCUUAACAACAAGAGAUUGAUUCUCUGUAUAUCUCUAAGAUAAUAUAUUCUAAGGUAUUUGCACCUAGAUAAUAAAAUACACUGGAUUCUCCCUCCUUUCCUCUCAUUGCUCUGCAAGCAUACUAUUUGUGUGAAUAGAUUAACAAAAAGCAUGACAUUGUAUGUGAUACAAGGACUAUUAAAUUUCGAUGUUAGAAAGAAA